GUCCACGCCCUAAACUAUGUCAACUGGUUGUCGGGAAGCAAUUCCUUGGUAACGAAGCUAACGCGUGAAGUUGACCGCCUGGGGAGUACGGCCGCAAGGUUAAACUCAAAGGAAUUGACGGGGACCCGCACAAGCGGUGGAUUAUGUGGAUUAAUUCGAUGCAACGCGAAAAACCUUACCUACCCUUGACAUGCCAGGAACCUCGCAGAGAUGUGAGGGUGCCCGAAAGGGAACCUGGACACAGGUGCUGCAUGGCUGUCGU
RNAcentral lists this ribosomal RNA (262 nucleotides) under uncultured bacterium. Its description in RNAcentral is "partial 16S ribosomal RNA". It matches the Rfam family "Bacterial small subunit ribosomal RNA", at positions 793 to 1055 of the family's 1533-position model. The record is from RNAcentral.